This is a non-coding RNA of 111 nucleotides. It matches the Rfam family "rmf RNA", at positions 22 to 132 of the family's 132-position model.
UCGUUUCGUGCGGAGCGGAGCCCGCCACGCCGGCAGCGGGCACCAAGCAGAUGCAGAGCAAUGCAAUCUGCGCGACCUCGACGGAGGUCGACGGGACAUAUAACAGUCAAC